UAGGGAAUAUUGCGCAAUGGGGGAAACCCUGACGCAGCGACGCCGCGUGAGUGAUGAAGGACUUCGGUUCGUAAAGCUCUGUCGCAGGGGAAUAAUAAAUUGAAGGUACCCUGUAAGAAAGGAUCGGCUAACUUCGUGCCAGCAGCCGCGGUAAGACGAGGGAUCCUAGCGUUGUUCGGAAUCAUUGGGCGUAAAGCGGGUGUAGGCGGCAUUAUAAGUCAGAUGUGAAAGCCCUGGGCUUAACCCAGGAAGUGCAUUUGAUACUGUAGUGCUUGAGUGUGGGAGAGGCUAGUGGAAUUCCUGGUGUAGUGGUGAAAUACGUAGAUAUCAGGAGGAACAUCGGAGGCGAAGGCGGCUAGCUGGCCCAACACUGACGCUCAGACCCGAAAGCGUGGGGAUCAAACAGG
RNAcentral lists this ribosomal RNA (407 nucleotides) under uncultured bacterium. RNAcentral describes it as "bacterial SSU rRNA". It matches the Rfam family "Bacterial small subunit ribosomal RNA", at positions 355 to 776 of the family's 1533-position model. The record is from RNAcentral.